GGAGGGAUGGCUGAGCGGUCGAAAGCGGCGGUCUUGAAAACCGUUGAGUGUAACAGCUCCGUGGGUUCGAAUCCUACUCCCUCCGCCA
Molecule: transfer RNA, 88 nt
Filed under: Desulfatirhabdium butyrativorans
Lineage: Bacteria; Pseudomonadati; Thermodesulfobacteriota; Desulfobacteria; Desulfobacterales; Desulfatirhabdiaceae
Also listed under: 1 other name
Description: tRNA-Ser
Rfam family: tRNA
About the family: Transfer RNA (tRNA) molecules are approximately 80 nucleotides in length.
Source: RNAcentral